This is a non-coding RNA of Acanthosepion pharaonis, 109 nucleotides long. Lineage: Eukaryota; Metazoa; Mollusca; Cephalopoda; Sepiida; Sepiidae. The record is from the annotation of a GenBank genome assembly.
UUGCGACCACUUCACGUUGAAACACCGCUUCCUGUACGACCACUAAAGUUAAGCAACGUCGACGCUGGUGAGUAUCUAGAUGGGUGACCGCUUGGGAAUACCAGGUGCU